GGUUACUGCUAUCGGUGUUCGCUUAAGCCAUGCGAGUCAUAUGUUCUUCGGAACAUGGCGUACUGCUCAGUAACACGUGGAUAACCUGCCCUUGGGUCCGGCAUAACCCCGGGAAACUGGGGAUAAUUCCGGAUAACGCACAUAUGCUGGAAUGCUUUAUGCGUCAAAUGGAUUCGUCCGCCCAAGGAUGGGUCUGCGGCCUAUCAGGUAGUAGUGGGUGUAAUGUACCUACUAGCUUACGACGGGUACGGGUUGUGAGAGCAAGAGCCCGGAGAUGGAUUCUGAGACAUGAAUCCAGGCCCUACGGGGCGCAGCAGGCGCGAAAACUCUACAAUGCGGGAAACCGUGAUAAGAGGACACCGAGUGCCAGCAUCAUAUGCUGGCUGUCCGGGUGUGUAAAAUACACCUGUUAGCAAGGGCCGGGCAAGACCGGUGCCAGCCGCCGCGGUAACACCGGCGGCCCGAGUGGUGAUCGUGAUUAUUGGGUCUAAAGGGUCCGUAGCCGGUUUGGUCAGUCCUCCGGGAAAUCUGACGGCUUAACCGUUAGGCUUUCGGGGGAUACUGCCAGACUUGGAACCGGGAGAGGUAAGAGGUACUACAGGGGUAGGAGUGAAAUCUUGUAAUCCCUGUGGGACCACCUGUGGCGAAGGCGUCUUACCAGAACGGGUUCGACGGUGAGGGACGAAAGCUGGGGGCACGAACCGGAUUAGAUACCCGGGUAGUCCCAGCCGUAAACGAUGCUCGCUAGGUGUCAGGCAUGGCGCGACCGUGUCUGGUGCCGCAGGGAAGCCGUGAAGCGAGCCACCUGGGAAGUACGGCCGCAAGGCUGAAACUUAA
This 837-nucleotide ribosomal RNA is filed under the name uncultured archaeon. RNAcentral's name for it is "bacterial SSU rRNA". It matches the Rfam family "Archaeal small subunit ribosomal RNA", at positions 21 to 859 of the family's 1478-position model. The record is from RNAcentral.